GAGUUGCUAGUAAUCGCGAAUCAGCAUGUCGCGGUGAAUACGUUCCCGGGCCUUGUACACACCGCCCGUCACACCAUGAGAGUUGGCAAUACCCAACGUACGUGAUCUAACCCGCAAGGGAGGAAGCGUCCUAAGGUAGGGUCAGCGAUUGGGGUGAAGUCGUAACAAGGUAAC
This 174-nucleotide ribosomal RNA is filed under the name uncultured bacterium. RNAcentral's name for it is "partial 16S ribosomal RNA". It matches the Rfam family "Bacterial small subunit ribosomal RNA", at positions 1329 to 1500 of the family's 1533-position model. The record is from RNAcentral.